UGAGGAAUAUUGCGCAAUGGGCGAAAGCCUGACGCAGCGACGCCGCGUGGAGGAUGAAGGCCCUCGGGUUGUAAACUCCUGUCAGUGGGGAAGAGAACGGACGGUACCCACUGAGGAAGCUUCGGCUAACUACGUGCCAGCAGCCGCGGUAAGACGUAGGGAGCAAGCGUUGUCCGGAAUUACUGGGCGUAAAGAGCUCGUAGGCGGGAGCGUGCGUCUGAAAGGAAAUCUCAGGGCUCAACUCUGGGGCUUUUUCAGAUACGGCGCUUCUUGAGUGUAACAGAGGAAAGCAGAAUUCCCGGUGUAGCGGUGAAAUGCGUAGAUAUCGGGAGGAAUACCAGUGGCGAAGGCGGCUUUCUGGGUUACCACUGACGCUGAGGAGCGAAAGCGUGGGGAGCGAACGGG
RNAcentral lists this ribosomal RNA (405 nucleotides) under uncultured bacterium. RNAcentral describes it as "bacterial SSU rRNA". It matches the Rfam family "Bacterial small subunit ribosomal RNA", at positions 355 to 776 of the family's 1533-position model. The record is from RNAcentral.